GUCUCACUAAGUGACAUCUAUUUGAAUGACCCACCAACUGGAAAGAUCACUUUCCAGAUACCUUCUGGGCUCAACAGAUCUUUCCCUUGUUCAGCUUUUGAGGUUGAAGAAACUAAGAAUGUUAAGCAAGAAAACAAGGAAGACGAGGAAGUGAAAGGAGCUGUGGGAGUAAAGGGAGUGUGAGCAGUUUAGUUCACUAGUUUGACUACCGAUAAAUCUUUUCAUCUGCUGUGCUUUGCUACCCCUAAUCCCUCUCCAUUGUGAUGUUUUAAGUUGUUUACUUGUUUAUGUUGGUAAUGAAAUGCCUUUAGAAUUCAUAAAAAAA
RNAcentral lists this unclassified non-coding RNA (325 nucleotides) under Hevea brasiliensis (rubber tree). The record is from RNAcentral. Lineage: Eukaryota; Viridiplantae; Streptophyta; Magnoliopsida; Malpighiales; Euphorbiaceae.